This 1300-nucleotide long non-coding RNA is filed under the name Ovis aries (sheep). RNAcentral's name for it is "lncRNA (ENSOARG00000025421.1)". The record is from RNAcentral. Lineage: Eukaryota; Metazoa; Chordata; Mammalia; Artiodactyla; Bovidae.
GUUCAUACAUAUGUUAAUUGGUAGAAUCAGCAUUCUAACCCUAGCAGAAUGACACAGACCUAGACUAUUUAGCUUUCUAAAAUAAUUUUCUUUUCCCACAGAUUAAAGCACCAAAUCCUCAUAAAUACAUACAUUUGUCUGUGGAAUUUCUAUUCUUUUUCAAUAACCUAUUCAUAUAUUCCUACUUGACACAUUUAAAACAUUUCAUCUGAGUGUCUUAUCCACUCUGCUUACUAUUUUUAAUAGCUCCCUAAAGUGAAGAGGAGCUAAAAAGCCUCUUUAUGAAAGUGAAAGAGGAGAGUGAAAAAGUUAGCUUAAAAUUAAACAUUCAAAAAACAAAGAUCAUGGCAUCCAGUCCCAUCACUUCAUGGGAAAUAGAUGGGGAAACAGUAGAAACAGUGUCAGACUUUAUUUUUUGGGGCUCCAAAAUCACUGCAGAUGGUGACUGCAGCCAUGAAAUUAAAAGACGCUUACUCCUUGGAAGAAAAGUUAUGACCAACCUAGAUAGUAUAUUCAAAAGCAGAGACAUUACUUUGCCGACUAAGGUCCAUCUAGUCAAGGCUAUGGUUUUUCCUGUGGUCAUGUAUGGAUGUGAGAGUUGGACUGUGAAGAAGGCUGAGCGCCGAAGAAUUGAUGCUUUUGAACUGUGGUGUUGGAGAAGACUCUUGAGAGUCCCUUGGACUGCAAGGAGACUUUGGCCACCUCAUGUGAAGAGUUGACUUAUUGGAAAGGAUUCUGAUGCUGGGAGGGAUUGGAGUAGGGGCAGGAAAAGGGGAUGACAGAGGAUGAGAUCGCUGAAUGGCAUCACCAACUCGAGGGACGUGAGUCUGAGUCAACUCCGGGGGAUGGUGAUGGACAGGGAAGCCUGGUGUGCUGCGAUUCAUGGGGUCCCAAAGAGUCAGACAUGACUAAGCAACUGAACUGACUGACUGACUUAAGACCAAAGCAUUAGUGAUAAAUUUAUUACUGUGUCAGUUGCUCAGUUAUGUUGACUCUUUGUGACCCUAGGGACAAUAGCCCACUGGGCUCCUCUGUCCAUGGAAUUUAGGGACAGUAGCCCACUGGGCUCCUCUGUCCAUGAGAUUCUCCAGGCAAGGGUACUAGAGUGGGCUGCCAUCCCCCCCUCCAGGAGAUCUUCCUGAUCCAGGGAUCAAAUCCAAGUGUCUUAUGUCUCCAGAUCAGAUUUUUUACCAUCUGAGCCCACCUAUAUAUUUACAAAAUAUUUAACUUAUAAGAAAGAUGUAACAAUUCUAAGAUAUUAUGAAUAUAAAAGAAAAUCAAAUCUAAAAGAGAUGAAAAC